GUUAUUAAAUGCAAGGCACUUGUGGUGUGGGAACCAAACAUACCCAUUUCUAUUGAGGAGCUGAGUUGUCCAUCUCAAGAAUCAUGAGAUUCGAGUAGAGACAGAUUCUGGCCAUCAGCUUUUGUGGCACAGACGACUGUGCAAUUAAUGGAAAAUUAAAAACUAAAUAUCCAUUUCUUCUAGGACACGAAGCAGCUGGAAUUGUAGAGAGUAUUGGAAAAGGAGUGAGAAAGGUAAAACCAAUGGCUGAUGACACCACCAGAUUUACCUGUAAAAGAAAACCAAUCUACCAACUCCCUAACACAAGCACCUUCACUGAAUACACAGUGUUAAGAGAAAGUGCAUUUGUCAAAAUUGAUCCUGAUGCUCCACUAGAAAAAGUAUGUUUGAUAGGCUGUGGAUUACUUGCAGGAAGAGGGCAGGAAUAAAUAAUGCAAAGGUCAAAUUCUUUCUAACUUGUACUGUGUUUGGCCUGGGUGAAGUUGGUCUCUUUAUUAUUAUGGGUUGCAAAGCUACUGGUGCUUCCAGGAUCAUUGGUAUUGACAUCAACAGAAACAAAUUUAAGAAGGCCAUAUCUCUGGGAGCUGCUGAAUGUUAUUAGUUCCAGGGAUCUUGAGAAGCCUAUCUGACACGUGCUCAUUGAAAUGAGUGACAACAU
This 658-nucleotide long non-coding RNA is filed under the name Homo sapiens (human). RNAcentral describes it as "non-protein coding lnc-ADH7-2:1". The record is from RNAcentral. Lineage: Eukaryota; Metazoa; Chordata; Mammalia; Primates; Hominidae.